RNAcentral lists this ribosomal RNA (195 nucleotides) under uncultured bacterium. RNAcentral's name for it is "partial 16S ribosomal RNA". It matches the Rfam family "Bacterial small subunit ribosomal RNA", at positions 1306 to 1500 of the family's 1533-position model. The record is from RNAcentral.
UGCAACUCGCCUGCAUGAAGUCGGAAUUGCUAGUAAUCGUAGGUCAGCAUACUACGGUGAAUACGUUCCCGGGCCUUGUACACACCGCCCGUCAAACCAUGAGAGUUGGCAACACCCGAAGUCGGUAGUCUAACCGCAAGGAGGACGCCGCCGAAGGUGGGGUUGAUGAUUAGGGUUAAGUCGUAACAAGGUAUC